ACUAGUGUAAACAGGGCCUUAAACUAAGCAGGGCUGCACCCAGUCAGUACCUGGAUGGGAGACCACAUGGGAAAACUAGGUUGCUGCCAGAA
Molecule: ribosomal RNA, 92 nt
Filed under: Danio rerio (zebrafish)
Lineage: Eukaryota; Metazoa; Chordata; Actinopteri; Cypriniformes; Danionidae
Source: RNAcentral